Molecule: ribosomal RNA, 253 nt
Filed under: uncultured prokaryote
Description: partial 16S ribosomal RNA
Rfam family: Bacterial small subunit ribosomal RNA
Source: RNAcentral
ACGAAGGGUGCAAGCGUUAGUCGGAAUUACUGGGCGUAAAGCGUGCGUAGGCGGUUUUCUAAGUCUGCCGUGAAAGCCCCGGGCUCAACCUGGGAAUGGCGGUGGAUACUGGAAAGCUGGAGUGCGGUAGAGGAGGGUGGAAUUCCCGGUGUAGCGGUGAAAUGCGUAGAGAUCGGGAGGAACAUCAGUGGCGAAGGCGGCCCUCUGGACCAGCACUGACGCUGAGGCACGAAAGCGUGGGGAGCAAACAGGA